RNAcentral lists this transfer RNA (77 nucleotides) under Flavobacteriales bacterium. RNAcentral describes it as "tRNA-Ile". It matches the Rfam family "tRNA". From Rfam's summary of the family: Transfer RNA (tRNA) molecules are approximately 80 nucleotides in length. Their secondary structure includes four short double-helical elements and three loops (D, anti-codon, and T loops). The record is from RNAcentral. Lineage: Bacteria; Pseudomonadati; Bacteroidota; Flavobacteriia; Flavobacteriales.
GCUCUCGUAGCUCAGUUGGUUAGAGCAUCCGUCUUAUGAGCGGAAGGUCGUGGGUUCGAAACCCACCGAGAGUACCA